Molecule: long non-coding RNA, 631 nt
Organism: Amphimedon queenslandica
Lineage: Eukaryota; Metazoa; Porifera; Demospongiae; Haplosclerida; Niphatidae
Exons: 2
Source: RefSeq, a predicted model, not a curated record
ACAUCCUGGUAAGCAUGCAUAUCCUGCGACAUGGCCGGCAUGAAGUUUCAGUUCUAAAGGAAAAGCAAUUUCCCUUUGUCCGGCUUGCCAUAAAGAAACUAAGAAAUUGCAUCACAACAGUAAGCAUGGGUAGUUGUUCAGAAUCCUUUUUUGCCUCUUUUUUCAAGCUAGUCUAGCAAACUAGGCUGCAAAAAGUCGUGGCACGACAUAACGCUGCUUAUAAUAAUGACUAACGAGAGCUGUUGCACUCAUGUCCAGAAAUGGAAUGUCAUUGAUAGGAAAUUUCUAGUAUACUUUCCGGAUACUGACUUUUAAUUUUAUACAGUGUAGUAAUGGUAGAAUAAGUUCAGCACCUUACAGCUUGAAAAGUAAAGAAGUUGAUCAAAGUGCCUCAGUCUAUAUAGUUUGUUAAACACUAUAGCUAUUCUUUUGCCAAAAUUGAUCCUGAUCAGUGACUGUUGUGAUGGUACCCGACCUUCUAGAAGAUACCACUGUCAUUGACGCCAUUUUUACAUUGAGAUUAAUAAUUUUUUGUAAUUUUCUCUUUUUUGAAGGGUCAAAACUACAAAACUGUUUAUUUUGAGGAGUUUGCCGGAGUGGAAAUUUGAAGUAAAACUUUUUUUAAACACAA